Molecule: ribosomal RNA, 547 nt
Filed under: uncultured Articulospora
Lineage: Eukaryota; Fungi; Ascomycota; Leotiomycetes; Helotiales; Helotiaceae
Description: eukaryotic LSU rRNA
Rfam family: 5.8S ribosomal RNA (bases 205-358)
Source: RNAcentral
AAGUCGUAACAAGGUUUCCGUAGGUGAACCUGCGGAAGGAUCAUUACAGAGUUCAUGCCCUCACGGGUAGAUCUCCCACCCUUGAAUACUAUACCUUAGUUGCUUUGGCAGGCCGUGGAAACACCACGGGCCCCGGCUUGUGCGUGCCUGCCAGAGGAAAUAAACUCUGUUUUUAGUGAUGUCUGAGUACUAUAUAAUAGUUAAAACUUUCAACAACGGAUCUCUUGGUUCUGGCAUCGAUGAAGAACGCAGCGAAAUGCGAUAAGUAAUGUGAAUUGCAGAAUUCAGUGAACCAUCGAAUCUUUGAACGCACAUUGCGCCCCGUGGUAUUCCGCGGGGCAUGCCUGUUCGAGCGUCAUUUCAACCAAUCAAGCCUCGGCUUGGUCUUGGGGUUUGCGGUCCCGCAUCUCCUAAACUCAGUGGCGGUGCGAUUGAGCUCUGAGCGUAGUAAAUUUUCUCGCUAUAGGGUCUUGGUCGUUACUUGCUAGCAACCCCCAAUUUUUAUUAGGUUGACCUCGGAUCAGGUAGGGAUACCCGCUGAACUUAA